UGAGGAUUUUGCUCCACAUUUCACAGAAUACUGCUUGUUAUUGACUGUACAGGGAUGUCUGGGAGACCAGCAUCCAGAGUUAGUCACCUGAACUAGAUGUGAAUUCUACCCAAAACAUGAACUAUCAUGUGCAGGCUUCCUUAAUUGAACAUCGUGGACGUCAUUUGUCAAAGGCAGAGCAUUGCAUGAACUAAGCAUAUUCCUGAGAGAAUGUGCAUCAGGAGCGGCUGAGUGGCCAUGUUGAAACCUUUCUGUGAAUUUGGUAACCUUCCAGAAGCCAUGCAUACCACCAGGUGGAAAACUGCAGCCUGAAUGUCAUAGUACAAGUAUUGGAAGAGUAAAGCCCAGCUCGUAGCAGAUAACCCAGAGCAAGCCACUAUUUGAAUGCAUUCACAUAAUGUGUUCGAUGAAUUAUUAGAGAAUAUGACAAAAUUUAUGUUUGUUUGCACGUCAUUUGAGAACAGAAAAUGGGGCAAAAGCUGUCAAACAAGGAGCUUGUUGUGAACAGUUCAGGCAGUAUUAGUCUUCUUUUAGGUGGAAUGUGACCCUGCUAACCCUGAAGUGUGAGUUAGACCUUUGAUGUUCAAGGGGAUUUGGAAUUAGGCAGACAGAGUUCAUCCAGCCUGAGACAGUAGGGUGUAAGUGACCACUGCAAACUCUCCCUUUCACUCAAACCAGGCCUGGUUUGCAACCAGCCUUCAAACCGUGAGGAACGGGUGUAGGAGAAUGUUUUUUUAAAUCUGGGUAGGAGGUGGCAAGAGGUCUGUUCCUUUUCAAAAAAAAAAAAAAGAAAAGAAAAAUUAAUGGAGGACAAACAGUAGAGAUAAAAGGGAAGAAAACGCUCCUUUUUCAUGUCUUUUCUCUUGUUUUUCAGUAAGAAGUUACCAUAUAUAGAGCAAUCACUGUCAACAUUAUCAUAUUAGCAUUUACUGUGCUGGAAAGUCUAACAAGGUAUAAAAUACUUCUGUGUCUUUGUCAAGUUAGCCAAAAAGAAACUUUUUUUGUGUGUUUGUAGAACAUGAAUGCUAUAAGGAAAAUGUUCUAGUCACAGGUGAAAAGCCUCAGUAGUUUUUUUCUCCACUUCUAGCAUUUUAAUUUCACUGCGGUUGUAGUAAUGUUCAAAUCUGGAGGAUGCCUCUGGAUGUGAGCAUUUCCACUGAGUACUUACAGCCACAUUACAAUUAAGUUAAUGUUCACAGACAGCACACCUGAAAAGGCACAGAAAGAAUUCAGUUUCUUUUGGGACAAGUAGGCAUUUAUGGUCAUGAGUGAAAAUCACCUCGGUCCAAAAAAUUAAACAAAAAAGCCCAGAGUAUUCUGUUCCUAGAACUUCAAAUUAAAUGUUUAAAACUGCAGAUUAAGGCUGAAGAGGAGUACAUGUCUUUAUGUUCCACUCAUGACAGGAAAGGCUUUGAUGCUGCAGAUAGGUCUUUGUCCCUUGGAGAUGCUGAUGCAAAUGUGCUUUGUUCAUGGAAUGGCCCUGGAAACAGUCAGAAAGGGGAGGAUCUUCUCUGCGCUGGCAACAAGGCAAAAACCCAAUUGCAGCUGUGCAGUGGCUAUUGCAUCAGCAGUGCAAGUCAACAUUUCCCCAGGAAUGUAAAGCCAUCUGUCACAUCCCUGCAACCUUUCUUGGUUACUCUCCCAGUGUGCUGCGCUGGCCUUUUUUUUUUCUGUCUGACACAGAACCUUUUAUUGGAACAUAUUUGAAAAGCUAAAUUCAGCAAAUGCAAGUUAUUAAAACUGUUUUUUAUAUGAUAAAAAUACAAAUGUGGGAGAUACUUUUUCACAAGUCAAAUUAUUGAACUGUGAUGUUUUGAGGAAACAGUUUCUCUCUUUAUUCUAAGAAUAAAUGAUUGUAGCAUACACGAUCAUUUAUUUAGAAAUAGGGUCAUUUCUUGUACUUUACUAAAUCUUGUCUUGAAAAGGUAGAAAAACAGAAAUAUCAAGAAGACUAUAUAUUAUGUAAUUGUAUACUGUCUUUGCUGAACUUUGAAAAGUUCUUUCAGUGCCCUCUCCUUGCUCUCAAUGCAAAGUAAUCUACUACCCACUGUUACUCUUAUCAGAUGUCUUUUCUGUGGAGUGGGCUAGCUCUGUUUCAGGAACAAAUUCUUGUGCUAGAUAAGGUCAAGUGAGAUAAGUUUUUGGAGACUGAGUUUUAAUCUUGCUUUGUUGUAAAUCAUGAGAAAGCAUGCUGAUUUUCAUCAGUGAGAAUUCUUACUUGGGCACCAAGUCUCCAGUGAUCACUUUGUAAUGUCACAAGUUAUUCAUAAUCUACUAUUGAGGUCACAGAAAAGUAUUCAUGUUUGGUUCUCUUAGGGAAUGUCUAGGCUUUGACAUUGUUUCUUUCUAGCUUUGUGCUUUAUGUAAUUAUAACAGAAUAACAUGCUUGGGGCACCUUUCAUUUUUUGUCCUGUGAGAGUUUAAUAAACCAUGAGAGGUAUUUUACAACAUGAUGAGUGCUCUUGUGCAAUGUUUCAUUGGCCACAAAUCCUCAAGUCACCUUCAGGAAUUCCAGAUGCCAGACUGAAGGUAUUUUUGCAGCUGUUCUAUGGGAGCUCAUGAAAGUGUUGCUCUCUUUAAAGGAAAUAAAAAAAGAAAAAUAAAGACCUUUUUAUAUACCAGUCCUUUUGACAGUUCUCUGUAAAGUAAGACAGAGGACAUAUAUCUGUUACAGCUGAAUGCUGAGUAUUUCAUCCAUAUGCCUGUGGAUACUUCAAAUAUCAUCUCCCUUGAAAAAUGCUUUUGCUGUAACAUUGAAGGAAGUGAACUCCUUUGAAUAGGAUAUAAUAUGCUCCAAGAUAAAAUGCUUUGAAUGGCUGUGCACUUAAUAAAGUAUUGCCUAAAGCAAUGCUAUCUUCUGACUAUUAUUAUUUUGUUUCACGAGUUGACUUUUAAAUUGAAUUCCCUGCCAUCUUUAUGUACUGGAGAACAUCUUGAAAAAAUCAAGCUACAAAUAGUGACUGUUUUCUAAAGGUCAAAGAAACUGUAAAGGAGGGAAAAAUAGUCAUUACUGAAAAAAUAAUAGUCAGGAAGCCCUGAAUAUUUAUAUACUGAUAU
Molecule: long non-coding RNA, 3057 nt
Organism: Gallus gallus (chicken)
Lineage: Eukaryota; Metazoa; Chordata; Aves; Galliformes; Phasianidae
Source: Ensembl